RNAcentral lists this ribosomal RNA (791 nucleotides) under uncultured archaeon. Its description in RNAcentral is "bacterial SSU rRNA". It matches the Rfam family "Archaeal small subunit ribosomal RNA", at positions 85 to 879 of the family's 1478-position model. The record is from RNAcentral.
ACUGCUCAGUAACACGUAGUCAACAUGCCCAGAGGACGCGGAUAACCUCGGGAAACUGAGGAUAAACCGCGAUAGGUCAUAAUUACUGGAAUGUGUUAUGGCCCAAAUCUAUAUGGCCUCUGGAUUGGACUGCGGCCGAUCAGGCUGUUGGUGAGGUAAUGGCCCACCAAACCUUUUACCGGUACGGGCUCUGAGAGGAGGAGCCCGGAGAUGGGCACUGAGACAAGGGCCCAGGCCCUAUGGGGCGCAGCAGGCGCGAAACCUCUGCAAUAGGCGAAAGCCUGACAGGGUUACUCUGAGUGAUUCCCGCUAAGGGAAUCUUUUGGCAUCUCUAAAAAUGGUGCAGAAUAAGGGGUGGGCAAGUCUGGUGUCAGCCGCCGCGGUAAUACCAGCACCCCGAGUGGUCGGGACGAUUAUUGGGCCUAAAGCAUCCGUAGCCGGUCUUGCAAGUCUUCCGUUAAAUCCAGCUGCUUAACAGAUGGGCUGCGGAGGAUACUACAAGGCUAGGAGGCGGGAGAGGCAAGCGGUACUCAGUGGGUAGGGGUAAAAUCCGCUGAUCCAUUGAAGACCACCAGUGGCGAAGGCGGCUUGCCAGAACGCGCUCGACGGUGAGGGAUGAAAGCUGGGGGAGCAAACCGGAUUAGAUACCCGGGUAGUCCCAGCUGUAAACGAUGCAGACUCGGUGAUGGGCUGGCCUUGUGCCAACCCAGUGCCGCAGGGAAGCCGUUAAGUCUGCCGCCUGGGGAGUACGGUCGCAAGACUGAAACUUAAAGGAAUUGGCGGGGGAGCAC